UACGAAGGGGGCUAGCGUUGCUCGGAAUCACUGGGCGUAAAGCGCACGUAGGCGGACUCUUAAGUCGGUGGUGAAAUCCUGGAGCUCAACUCCAGAACUGCCUUCGAUACUGGGAGUCUUGAGUCCGGGAGAGGUGAGUGGAACUGCGAGUGUAGAGGUGAAAUUCGUAGAUAUUCGCAAGAACACCAGUGGCGAAGGCGGCGCACUGGCCCGGUACUGACGCUGAGGUGCGAAAGCGUGGGGAGCAAACAGG
Molecule: ribosomal RNA, 253 nt
Filed under: uncultured bacterium
Lineage: Bacteria
Description: partial 16S ribosomal RNA
Rfam family: Bacterial small subunit ribosomal RNA
Source: RNAcentral